UCAGUAAAACAGAUUUGUGAUAAACAUGCAUUCAUCAUCAUUCAAUAAACACGAAAUGCUUCCUGCACUUUCAGGCAGUGCUAUAGAAUGGGGAACAAAUCAAGUUCCUGCUCGAAUGGCACGUAACUUAGUACCUAGUGGGAGAGGUAAACAAUGAGCACACCAAUACGACAUUAGAGAAGUAAGUGCUGAGAAGAAACAAAAAGAGGUGUAACAGAUUAGGAACUGGCAGUGAUGAUGGGACGCAUGGCUAUAUUAGGUUGGAUGCCCAGGGAAAACAAGCCUGAGGGUGUGAUUUUAAAUGAGUUCUGAAGAAGCGCCAUGGAGACAAUUCAAGUGGAGGGACCGGCCAGCUACAGAGCCCUUGAGAGUGCCACUUUUGCUGCUCCAGCUCGAUUCCCAGAAAGUCCCUGUGAUGCAGCUUUGGCGAAAUUUCCACCAGGGUCCCAACUAGAGACCAUGUGUGACAACCAGAGAAUGUGAGAAAAGUCGCCAUCUGGUGGUUGCAAUGGAGAACCACGUCACACGGAGGGCAGGAUGGGCAGGGGAAAGCCUGAACAUCAGAGACAAAUAGACCCUCUGGCCCGCAAUCUAGAACAAUUCUUUCUAGAGGACGUUUUAAAAUAUAUUCAAGGGCUGCGGUAUGGAG
Prionailurus viverrinus (fishing cat) is the source of this 649-nucleotide long non-coding RNA. RefSeq lists it as uncharacterized. Lineage: Eukaryota; Metazoa; Chordata; Mammalia; Carnivora; Felidae. The transcript has 3 exons. The record is from RefSeq and is a predicted model, not a curated record.